RNAcentral lists this transfer RNA (68 nucleotides) under Tingis cardui. Its description in RNAcentral is "tRNA-Pro". The record is from RNAcentral. Lineage: Eukaryota; Metazoa; Arthropoda; Insecta; Hemiptera; Tingidae.
CAAUGAGUAUUUUAUUUAAAAUAUUAAUUUUGGGGAUUAAAGAAAAAGUACAUUCACUUUCUUGUUGA